CCUACGGGAGGCUGCAGUCGAGAAUCAUUCACAAUGGGGGAAACCCUGAUGCUGCGACGCCGCGUGGGGGAAUGAAGGUCUUCGGAUUGUAAACCCCUGUUAUGUGGGAGCAAAGUAAAAAGAUAGUACCACAAGAGGAAGAGACGGCUAACUCUGUGCCAGCAGCCGCGGUAAUACAGAGGUCUCAAGCGUUGUUCGGAAUCACUGGGCGUAAAGGGUGCGUAGGCUGUUUCGUAAGUCGUGUGUGAAAGGGGCGGGCUCAACCCGCGGAUGGCACAUGAUACUGGGAGACUAGAGUAAUGGAGAGGGAACCGGAAUUCGCGGUGUAGCAGUGAAAUGCGUAGAUAUCGAGAAGAACACUGAUGGCGAAGGCAGGUUCCUGGACAUUAACUGACGCUGAGGCACGAAGGCCAGGGGAGCGAAAGGGAUUAGAUACCCUAGUAGUC
Molecule: ribosomal RNA, 446 nt
Filed under: uncultured bacterium
Lineage: Bacteria
Description: partial 16S ribosomal RNA
Rfam family: Bacterial small subunit ribosomal RNA
Source: RNAcentral